This is a non-coding RNA of Picea glauca (white spruce), 45 nucleotides long. Lineage: Eukaryota; Viridiplantae; Streptophyta; Pinopsida; Pinales; Pinaceae. The record is from Rfam.
AAAAAGGCCCUUUUCAGGGCCACCAAUACAAUUCAAACGAACCAA